CCUACGGGAGGCAGCAGUGGGGAAUAUUGGGCAAUGGGCGCAAGCCUGACCCAGCAACGCCGCGUGAAGGAAGAAGGCUUUCGGGUUGUAAACUUCUUUUCUCAGGGACGAAGCAAGUGACGGUACCUGAGGAAUAAGCCACGGCUAACUACGUGCCAGCAGCCGCGGUAAUACGUAGGUGGCAAGCGUCAUCCGGAUUUACUGGGUGUAAAGGGCGUGUAGGCGGGACUGCAAGUCAGAUGUGAAAACCACGGGCUCAACCUGUGGACUGCAUUUGAAACUGUAGUUCUUGAGUGCUGGAGAGGCAGACGGAAUUCCUAGUGUAGCGGUGAAAUGCGUAGAUAUUAGGAGGAACACCAGUGGCGAAGGCGGUCUGCUGGACAGCAACUGACGCUGAGGCGCGAAAGCGUGGGGAGCAAACAGGAUUAGAUACCCCUGUAGUC
RNAcentral lists this ribosomal RNA (443 nucleotides) under uncultured bacterium. Its description in RNAcentral is "partial 16S ribosomal RNA". It matches the Rfam family "Bacterial small subunit ribosomal RNA", at positions 338 to 795 of the family's 1533-position model. The record is from RNAcentral.